This 203-nucleotide unclassified non-coding RNA is filed under the name Glomus sp. RNAcentral's name for it is "partial contains 5.8S ribosomal RNA and internal transcribed spacer 2". The stretch from base 1 to 72 matches the Rfam family "5.8S ribosomal RNA", at positions 84 to 154 of the family's 154-position model. The record is from RNAcentral. Lineage: Eukaryota; Fungi; Glomeromycota; Glomeromycetes; Glomerales; Glomeraceae.
GUGAAUCAUCAAAUUUUUGAACGCAAAUUGCACUCUCCGGUUUUCCGGGAAAGAAUGCCUGUUUGAGGGUCUGUUUAAACAAUAAUCGAGUCUGCUGCUGUGGUCGCGCUGCGGAAUUGGGUCAUCUUCCACCUUUCUGGGUUUUAAGCGACCUAAAAUUUUUGUUACGAUUUCUACUAACGUUUCUAAGAAUUUUUCUUAUA